AAAAGUCGUAACAAGGUCUCCGUUGGUGAACCAGCGGAGGGAUCAUUAGCGAGUUCAUCUCUCUAAAACCAUUGUGAACGAACAGCUUCGUUGCUUCGGCAGCGUACUAUCCGUAGGCUUCUGAAGCCUGCGGGUCGGCCUGCCGAAAGAACGCAAACUCUUGUAACCACUGUAUCUCUGAGUAACUUAAUCAAUAAGUUAAAACUUUCAACAACGGAUCUCUUGGUUCUG
This 231-nucleotide unclassified non-coding RNA is filed under the name fungal sp. Its description in RNAcentral is "partial internal transcribed spacer region". The stretch from base 1 to 48 matches the Rfam family "Eukaryotic small subunit ribosomal RNA", at positions 1784 to 1831 of the family's 1831-position model. The record is from RNAcentral. Lineage: Eukaryota; Fungi.